Molecule: transfer RNA, 66 nt
Filed under: Mycobacterium phage Phabba
Lineage: Duplodnaviria; Heunggongvirae; Uroviricota; Caudoviricetes
Description: tRNA-OTHER
Source: RNAcentral
CUCUCUGCGUGGACGGCACCAGGCCUUCUAAGCCGACGUGCGGGGGUUCGACUCCCUCCAGGGAGA